GGAAGGAUGGCCGAGCGGCUGAAGGCGGCGGUUUGCUAAACCGUUAUACGAUUGAAAAGUCGUAUCGAGGGUUCGAAUCCCUCUCCUUCCA
This 91-nucleotide transfer RNA is filed under the name Wolbachia endosymbiont of Litomosoides sigmodontis. Its description in RNAcentral is "tRNA-Ser". It matches the Rfam family "tRNA". Rfam says of the family: Transfer RNA (tRNA) molecules are approximately 80 nucleotides in length. Their secondary structure includes four short double-helical elements and three loops (D, anti-codon, and T loops). Lineage: Bacteria; Pseudomonadati; Pseudomonadota; Alphaproteobacteria; Rickettsiales; Anaplasmataceae. The record is from RNAcentral.